Molecule: non-coding RNA, 76 nt
Organism: Oryza nivara
Lineage: Eukaryota; Viridiplantae; Streptophyta; Magnoliopsida; Poales; Poaceae
Source: Rfam
GUCGAUAUGUCCGAGUGGAGACAGACUCGAAAUCUGUUGGGAUUUGCCUGCGCAGGUUCGAAUCCUGCUGUCGACG